AACGUACGCUGGCGGCACGCCUAACACAUGCAAGUCGAACGCAGUAGCAAUACUGAGUGGCAGACGGGUGAGUAACAUGCGGGAAUCUGCCUUGUGGUUCAGGACAACAUUGGGAAACCGAUGCUAAUACUGGAUAAGCCCUUACGGGGAAAGUUUUAAUGCCAUAAGAUGAGACCGCAUUUGAUUAGUUAGUUGGUGAGGUAAUGUCUCACCAAGACAAUGAUCAAUAGCUGAGCUGAGAGGAUGAUCAGCCACACUGGGACUGAGACACGGCCCAGACUCCUACGGGAGGCAGCAGUGGGGAAUCUUGCACGAUGGAGGAAACUCCGAUGCAGCGAUGCCGCGUGAGUGAAAAAGGCCUUUGGGUUGUAAAGCUCUUUUGUAGGGGAAGAUAAUGACUGUACCCUAAGAAUAAGGUCCGGCUAACUUCGUGCCAGCAGCCGCCGUAA
This 449-nucleotide ribosomal RNA is filed under the name uncultured bacterium. Its description in RNAcentral is "partial 16S ribosomal RNA". It matches the Rfam family "Bacterial small subunit ribosomal RNA", at positions 29 to 523 of the family's 1533-position model. The record is from RNAcentral.